Molecule: ribosomal RNA, 253 nt
Filed under: uncultured bacterium
Lineage: Bacteria
Description: partial 16S ribosomal RNA
Rfam family: Bacterial small subunit ribosomal RNA
Source: RNAcentral
UGCGUAGGUGGCGAGCGUUGUCCGGAUUUACUGGGCGUAAAGCGCGCGCAGGCGGUUCGUUAAGUCUGGUGUGAAAGCUCCCGGCUCAACUGGGAGAGGUCAUCGGAUACUGGCGGACUCGAGGGAUGCAGAGGAAGGUGGAAUUCCCGGUGUAGUGGUGAAAUGCGUAGAGAUCGGGAGGAACACCAGUGGCGAAGGCGGCCUUCUGGGCAUUUCCUGACGCUGAGGCGCGAAAGCGUGGGGAGCGAACCGG